This 347-nucleotide transfer-messenger RNA is filed under the name Polyangiaceae. RNAcentral describes it as "NIC37A-2 sp012514535 Standard tmRNA". It matches the Rfam family "transfer-messenger RNA". Rfam says of the family: Bacterial tmRNA, also known as 10Sa RNA or SsrA, is named for its dual tRNA and mRNA-like properties. Its role is to liberate the mRNA from a stalled ribosome. The record is from RNAcentral. Lineage: Bacteria; Pseudomonadati; Myxococcota; Polyangiales. RNAcentral also lists the same sequence under 1 other name.
GGGGGCGAUCGGUUUCGACGUGGGGACGGAAAGUCAAUCUGCGUGCAGGGGCUCCUGGACCUCUACAAAAACCGGGACGUUAUAUCUGCGAACGACAACGCAAUCGCUCUCGCGGCCUAAAAAACCAGCGAAGCCGUCCAACCGUGAGAUUGUCUUGGUAACGGAAGGGCGUCACUACUAAGGCUGGAUCAGGUGAGGAUGCCCUCGAUAGCCUGGUCGAGAUCAGUGAGGGAUAGGUCCUGACCGAAUUCAGGAAGCCUGUCGGCGGGCCAUCACCGACUACGCACGUGAACGAGGGUUGACCGGAAGCCUUGCGGACCCGGGUUCGAUUCCCGGCGCCUCCACAA